AUUGAACGCUGGCGGCAGGCCUAACACAUGCAAGUCGAACGGUAACAGAAAGCAGCUUGCUGCUUUGCUGACGAGUGGCGGACGGGUGAGUAAUGUCUGGGAAACUGCCCGAUGGAGGGGGAUAACUACUGGAAACGGUAGCUAAUACCGCAUAACGUCGCAAGACCAAAGAGGGGGACCUUCGGGCCUCUUGCCAUCGGAUGUGCCCAGAUGGGAUUAGCUAGUAGGUGGGGUAACGGCUCACCUAGGCGACGAUCCCUAGCUGGUCUGAGAGGAUGACCAGCCACACUGGAACUGAGACACGGUCCAGACUCCUACGGGAGGCAGCAGUGGGGAAUAUUGCACAAUGGGCGCAAGCCUGAUGCAGCCAUGCCGCGUGUAUGAAGAAGGCCUUCGGGUUGUAAAGUACUUUCAGCGGGGAGGAAGGGAGUAAAGUUAAUACCUUUGCUCAUU
Molecule: ribosomal RNA, 453 nt
Filed under: Escherichia coli
Lineage: Bacteria; Pseudomonadati; Pseudomonadota; Gammaproteobacteria; Enterobacterales; Enterobacteriaceae
Description: bacterial SSU rRNA
Rfam family: Bacterial small subunit ribosomal RNA
Source: RNAcentral